Molecule: ribosomal RNA, 513 nt
Filed under: uncultured bacterium
Lineage: Bacteria
Description: partial 16S ribosomal RNA
Rfam family: Bacterial small subunit ribosomal RNA
Source: RNAcentral
AGCGAACGUUAGCGGCGGGCCUAACACAUGCAAGUCGAGCGAGAAAGUGGCUUCGGCCACGAGUAAAGCGGCGGACGGGUGAGUAACACGUAGGUAAUCUUCCCUUGAGCGGGGGACAACGAGCCGAAAGGCUCGCUAAUACCGCAUACGUUUCCAGAGGCCCCGGUCUCUGGAAGGAAAGCUAGGCCGCAAGGUCUGGCACUCGAGGAGGAGCCUGCGUCGCAUCAGCUAGUUGGGGGGGUAACGGCCUACCAAGGCGAAGACGCGUAGCUGGUCUGAGAGGAUGAUCAGCCACACUGGGACUGAGACACGGCCCAGACUCCUACGGGAGGCAGCAGUGGGGAAUAUUGGACAAUGGGCGCAAGCCUGAUCCAGCCACGCCGCGUGAGUGAUGAAGGCCUUCGGGUCGUAAAGCUCUGUGGGGAGGGACGAACCGCUGCACGUUCAUAGCGUGCAGCAUGACGGUACCUCCUUAGCAAGCACCGGCUAACUUCGUGCCAGCAGCCGCCGCAG